RNAcentral lists this ribosomal RNA (122 nucleotides) under Phrynocephalus maculatus (blacktail toadhead agama). Its description in RNAcentral is "partial 16S ribosomal RNA". The record is from RNAcentral. Lineage: Eukaryota; Metazoa; Chordata; Lepidosauria; Squamata; Agamidae.
CUUUCAGUACGAAAGGACCGAUAAAGCAGGACCAAUUACAAUGGAAUGUCCUUCAUACAAUGCACUGAAAAAAUCUAAAGUACAAAACAUAUGCCUAGGUACUCAACACUAGACAAGUGUUA